CCUAAAAACGGGCCUGACCGAAUAAGAAGUUAUCUGGCAGAUAAACUUUGAUUUUCGUAUAUUUCAUGGUUUCUGAUUACCAGGAAACUAAAAAUAUAACCUAAAAUCUUGAGGGUCUGAUUGAAUUUAUUGCAAAAGUAAAAUUUUGUUCUUUCUAAAAAUUCUCAAUCACAAAUUUUAUGUUAUUUUGUUUUUAUACAUACCUACCUACUGUAAUUUUUUAAGCAGAGUUAUUAGAUAUUAAAUUAAAGAUGGGUUAUAAUUUAUAAUUUGAAAAAAUUAUAAUAGGUAUGUAUUAUUGUAUACCUACCCAACUAUAUUCAUUUACAAAGGAAAACAAGUUGUAAAAAAUAAAAAUAGAAUAGUUUCUUAUCCCAUCAUUUCUUUGAAUUGCCAAAUAUUUUACGAUUCCAAAAUGAAAGGUAUUGAUAUAUGUAGGUAGUAACUAGAAUUAUGUAUGCACAUGGUUCUCAGAAACAGUAGAUGAUACCUACCUUGAAAAAAAAGCUGCUGUUAAGUAUCCAAAACAUACUGGGUGUAUCAUGAAAUUCUAAAAAAAUAGAAUAUAGGAAGACUGAUUUUAUAUUCUGAGAAUUUCGUAAUACUCCCCGGAUAUGUUUUAAAUAGGUACCUUCUUACUAAUAUUUUUUUGUGCCAAAUAUAAGUAAUUCUGUAUUA
Long non-coding RNA from Diabrotica virgifera virgifera (western corn rootworm), 678 nucleotides. RefSeq lists it as uncharacterized. Lineage: Eukaryota; Metazoa; Arthropoda; Insecta; Coleoptera; Chrysomelidae. The transcript is spliced from 2 exons. The record is from RefSeq and is a predicted model, not a curated record.